Molecule: long non-coding RNA, 739 nt
Filed under: Mytilus galloprovincialis (Mediterranean mussel)
Lineage: Eukaryota; Metazoa; Mollusca; Bivalvia; Mytilida; Mytilidae
Source: RNAcentral
AAAAUGUUGGCAGCAGUCCUUUUGCGCCAAUUACUGUUUUUCAGGGCUAUCAUUUGCGCCAAAUUUUGUUUUCCAAAUGUAUCAAUUGCGCCAAUUUACCUGUACACAUAUUUAUCAUAAAUAUUAUUGAUAAAUAUAUAUUUAUUCUUAUUUUUGGCUUAAAAAGUAUCAUAUGUUCGGAGGUAUUUAGCCAUGAAGAUGAGCAUCUGGAGAGAAAUGACUAAAAAUGCAUUAGACAGUCAAUAUACAGAGAGAGUAUAAAACUUAUUGCUUUGCUGAAUAUUUAAUAAAGAUAUGCCAAUAAAGAAGAAAAGCUUUCAAUGAAUUGUUGCAUGUUAAUGUCUAAAUUAAUUAAAAUUUAUGAAAGCUUUUGCUGAUUAUGCUUUAGCCACAUAUGUUGAUGACACAGUGUUUUAAUUGUUCCAAUCAUGCGUAUGAACUUUAAAGUGAAGUUACAAGCUACUACACACUUUAAAUUUGAGAGUACCCAUGCAGUAGUAGUAAUUAAGAAGAAGAUAUGUUUCAGAAAAGGAAACAUUUGCCGUGUAAAAUGCUGGUUCCAAGUCCGAAUAAAGGAGUAGGGAAGUCAUUUUUCUUCUAAUUGGCGCAAUCGUAUGUUUAAUUUUUGGCGCAAAUGAUACCAUGUAAUUUUAAAACAUGUGGCGCAAACGUAGCAUUGAAGAAAAAAAGUUGUGGCGCAAAAGGACGCAUUUUUGGCGCAAACGGAUCUCCCCCAAAA